GCGCGGGGAGAAAGACCCGGAGUCCGGAAGGAGAAGAACUCGGGAGAGGGGCCGCGCGGGGAGAAAGACCCGGAGUCCGGAAGGAGAAGAACUCGGGAGAGGGGCCGCGCGGGGAGAAAGACCCGGAGUCCGGAAGGAGAACAACUCGGGAGAGGGGCCGCGCGGGGAGAAAGACCCGGAGUCCGGAAGGAGAACAACUCGGGAGAGGGGCCGCGCGGGGAGAAAGACCCGGAGUCCGGAGCGAGAAGAGCUCGGGAGAGGGGCCGCGCGGGGAGAAAGACCCGGAGUCCGGAAGGAGAACAACUCGGGAGAGGGGCCGCGCGGGGAGAAAGACCCGGAGUCCGGAAGGAGAAGAACUCGGGAGAGGGGCCGCGCGGGGAGAAAGACCCGGAGUCCGGAGCAAGAAGAGCUCGGGAGAGGGGCCGCGCGGGGAGAAAGACCCGGAGUCCGGAGCAAGAAGAGCUCGGGAGAGGGGCCGCGAGGGGAGAAAGACCCGGAGUCCGGAAGGAGAAG
RNAcentral lists this long non-coding RNA (513 nucleotides) under Homo sapiens (human). RNAcentral describes it as "non-protein coding lnc-CPLX1-6:1". The record is from RNAcentral. Lineage: Eukaryota; Metazoa; Chordata; Mammalia; Primates; Hominidae.